CGGGGGGCAGCAGUGGGGAAUAUUGGACAAUGGGCGAAAGCCUGAUCCAGCAAUGCCGCGUGUGUGAAGAAGGUCUUCGGAUUGUAAAGCACUUUCGACGGGGACGAUGAUGACGGUACCCGUAGAAGAAGCCCCGGCUAACUUCGUGCCAGCAGCCGCGGUAAUACGAAGGGGGCUAGCGUUGCUCGGAAUGACUGGGCGUAAAGGGCGCGUAGGCGGUUUGUUUAGUUAGGCGUGAAAUUCCUGGGCUUAACCUGGGGACUGCGCUUAAUACAGGCAGACUUGAGUUCGGAAGAGGGUCGUGGAAUUCCCAGUGUAGAGGUGAAAUUCGUAGAUAUUGGGAAGAACACCGGUGGCGAAGGCGGCGACCUGGUCCGAUACUGACGCUGAGGCGCGAAAGCGUGGGGAGCAAACAGGAUUAGAUACCCGAGU
RNAcentral lists this ribosomal RNA (432 nucleotides) under uncultured Acetobacteraceae bacterium. Its description in RNAcentral is "bacterial SSU rRNA". It matches the Rfam family "Bacterial small subunit ribosomal RNA", at positions 342 to 791 of the family's 1533-position model. Lineage: Bacteria; Pseudomonadati; Pseudomonadota; Alphaproteobacteria; Acetobacterales; Acetobacteraceae. The record is from RNAcentral.